Molecule: ribosomal RNA, 465 nt
Filed under: uncultured Klebsiella sp.
Lineage: Bacteria; Pseudomonadati; Pseudomonadota; Gammaproteobacteria; Enterobacterales; Enterobacteriaceae
Description: bacterial SSU rRNA
Rfam family: Bacterial small subunit ribosomal RNA
Source: RNAcentral
CCUACGGGUGGCUGCAGUGGGGAAUAUUGCACAAUGGGCGCGAGCCUGAUGCAGCCAUGCCGCGUGUGUGAAGAAGGCCUUCGGGUUGUAAAGCACUUUCAGCGGGGAGGAAGGCGUUAAGGUUAAUAACCUUGGCGAUUGACGUUACCCGCAGAAGAAGCACCGGCUAACUCCGUGCCAGCAGCCGCGGUAAUACGGAGGAUGCAAGCGUUAAUCGGAAUUACUGGGCGUAAAGCGCACGCAGGCGGUCUGUCAAGUCGGAUGUGAAAUCCCCGGGCUCAACCUGGGAACUGCAUUCGAAACUGGCAGGCUAGAGUCUUGUAGAGGGGGGUAGAAUUCCAGGUGUAGCGGUGAAAUGCGUAGAGAUCUGGAGGAAUACCGGUGGCGAAGGCGGCCCCCUGGACAAAGACUGACGCUCAGGUGCGAAAGCGUGGGGAGCAAACAGGAUUAGAUACCCGUGUAGUC